AGUGAACGCUGGCGGUAGGCCUAACACAUGCAAGUCGAACGGCAGCACAGUAAGAGCUUGCUCUUACGGGUGGCGAGUGGCGGACGGGUGGGGAAUACAUCGGAAUCUACUUUUUCGUGGGGGAUAACGUAGGGAAACUUACGCUAAUACCGCAUACGACCUACGGGUGAAAGCAGGGGAUCUUCGGACCUUGCGCGAUUGAAUGAGCCGAUGUCGGAUUAGCUAGUUGGCGGGGUAAAGGCCCACCAAGGUGACGAUCCGUAGCUGGUCUGAGAGGAUGAUCAGCCACACUGGAACUGAGACACGGUCCAGACUCCUACGGGAGGCAGCAGUGGGGAAUAUUGGACAAUGGGCGCAAGCCUGAUCCAGCCAUACCGCGUGGGUGAAGAAGGCCUUCGGGUUGUAAAGCCCUUUUGUUGGGAAAGAAAAGCAGCAGGUUAAUACCCCGCUGUUCUGACGGUACCCAAAGAAUAAGCACCGGCUAACUUCGUG
RNAcentral lists this ribosomal RNA (492 nucleotides) under uncultured bacterium. RNAcentral's name for it is "partial 16S ribosomal RNA". It matches the Rfam family "Bacterial small subunit ribosomal RNA", at positions 29 to 507 of the family's 1533-position model. The record is from RNAcentral.